Molecule: small nuclear RNA, 104 nt
Filed under: Marchantia polymorpha subsp. ruderalis
Lineage: Eukaryota; Viridiplantae; Streptophyta; Marchantiopsida; Marchantiales; Marchantiaceae
Source: RNAcentral
GUCCCUUCGGGAACAUCCGCUAAAAUCCUUCGGGAACGAUACAGAGAAGAUUAGCAUGGCCCCCGCAAGGAUGACACGCAGAAAUCGAAAUGUAUGAGUUUAUA